CCUCAGCUUGGCAUUGGUCUUUUGGCAUCGCGACUUGAUUCAUUUUUGUUUGUCUUCUUUCAUAAUUGAAACCCAGACGAAAUUAGUGUUUCUAUCUUUACUUAACUUUUAUUCAGAUAAUACGAAAAUAUCACAUUUUCAUAUUAUCCAAUAAAAUCUAAGUAAAGAGGGGCAGCUGCCAACACCCAAUUUCGUCCGG
This 199-nucleotide long non-coding RNA is filed under the name Vigna radiata. RNAcentral's name for it is "long non-coding RNA (VRAD_LNC018211)". Lineage: Eukaryota; Viridiplantae; Streptophyta; Magnoliopsida; Fabales; Fabaceae. The record is from RNAcentral.